RNAcentral lists this ribosomal RNA (800 nucleotides) under uncultured bacterium. Its description in RNAcentral is "bacterial SSU rRNA". It matches the Rfam family "Bacterial small subunit ribosomal RNA", at positions 8 to 819 of the family's 1533-position model. The record is from RNAcentral.
AGAGUUUGAUCCUGGCUCAGGACGAACGCUGGCGGCGUGCUUGAUACAUGCAAGUCGAACGGACUUUUCGAGGGAGCUUGCUUUCUUGGAAAGUUAGUGGCGGACGGGUGAGUAACGCGUGGGUAAUCUGCCCUAAGGUCCGGGACAACAGUUCGAAAGGACUGCUAAGACCGGAUGAUCUUGCGAGGAGACAUCUUUUUGCAAGCAAAGGUUACACCUUAGGAUGAGCCCGCGUCCCAUUAGCUAGUUGGUGAGGUAACGGCCCACCAAGGCGACGAUGGGUAGCCGGACUGAGAGGUUGGCCGGCCACACUGGGACUGAGACACGGCCCAGACUCCUACGGGAGGCAGCAGUAGGGAAUUUUCGUCAAUGGGGGAAACCCUGAACGAGCGACGCCGCGUGAGGGAUGAAGGCCUUCGGGUUGUAAACCUCUGUCUAGAGGGACGAUAAUGACGGUACCUCUGGAGGAAGCCACGGCUAACUACGUGCCAGCAGCCGCGGUAAGACGUAGGUGGCAAGCGUUGUCCGGAAUUAUUGGGCGUAAAGGGCGUGUAGGCGGCCAUUCAAGUCAGGCGUGAAACCCCUGGGCUUAACCUAGGGACUGCGUUUGAAACUGGAUGGCUUGAGGACAGGAGAGGAAAGCGGAAUUCCCAGUGUAGCGGUGAAAUGCGUAGAUAUUGGGAGGAACACCAGUGGCGAAGGCGGCUUUCUGGACUGUCCCUGACGCUGAGGCGCGAAAGCCAGGGGAGCGAACGGGAUUAGAUACCCCGGUAGUCCUGGCUGUAAACGAUGGGUACUAG